This 255-nucleotide ribosomal RNA is filed under the name uncultured bacterium. RNAcentral's name for it is "partial 16S ribosomal RNA". It matches the Rfam family "Bacterial small subunit ribosomal RNA", at positions 524 to 777 of the family's 1533-position model. The record is from RNAcentral.
UACGGAGGGUGCGAGCGUUGUCCGGAAUCAUUGGGCGUAAAGGGCGCGUAGGUGGCCCGGUCAGUUCGUGGUGAAAGCGCGGGGCUCAACCCUGCGUCGGCCAUGAAUACUGCCGCGGCUGGAGCACUGUAGAGGCAGGCGGAAUUCCGGGUGUAGCGGUGGAAUGCGUAGAGAUCCGGAAGAACACCGGUGGCGAAGGCGGCCUGCUGGGCUAUGGCUGACACUGAGGCGCGACAGCGUGGGGAGCAAACAGGG